GUCGCGCCUGCGUAGGAUAGGUGGGAGCCUGUGAACCCCCGCCUCCGGGUGGGGGGGAGGCGCCGGUGAAAUACCACCCUGGCGCGG
RNAcentral lists this unclassified non-coding RNA (87 nucleotides) under Saccharomyces cerevisiae (brewer's yeast). RNAcentral describes it as "EUKARYOTIC RIBOSOMAL L1_RRNA from Saccharomyces cerevisiae (PDB 4V8Y, chain CN)". It matches the Rfam family "Bacterial large subunit ribosomal RNA", at positions 2127 to 2213 of the family's 2925-position model. Lineage: Eukaryota; Fungi; Ascomycota; Saccharomycetes; Saccharomycetales; Saccharomycetaceae. The record is from RNAcentral.